ACUCGUGUCUUCUCCUGCGCGAGAGACUCGAGGACUCCCCUCCCUCCCCUCUCCAAACCCUCGCCUCGGCUCCCCCGCAGCCGCGCACGCCACCGCCGUCGCCUCUCCUCUCCACCGCCUCCCCACCCACCCGCUAGGUUUCCGCCGCUGCCCGGGGUUCUCGCCGCCGCGCCGCCCUCCCCCACGCUCGCUCUCCGGGUGGGGGUGGUGCCGCCCCUCUCCUCCUCCGUUUCCAGGCGGGUGCCGGCCGGGGGGGUCUCUCGCCCUCGUCUCCUCUCCCCCUGGUCGUCGGCACCGGCGGCUGGGAACUCGCCGACGCGUCGUUUCCCCGCGAGGCCGCCGCCUAGAUCUGGAGGAGGGGGUUUGGGGUUACAAUGGAUUGCAACAAAGAUGAGGCUGUUAAGGCAAAAGCUUUGGCUGAAAAAAAAAUGCGGGAGAAGGAUUUCGCUGGUGCAAAAAGGAUGA
Molecule: long non-coding RNA, 465 nt
Filed under: Oryza sativa tropical japonica subgroup
Lineage: Eukaryota; Viridiplantae; Streptophyta; Magnoliopsida; Poales; Poaceae
Description: lncRNA OsCMeo_06g0018370
Source: RNAcentral